This 460-nucleotide ribosomal RNA is filed under the name uncultured bacterium. RNAcentral describes it as "partial 16S ribosomal RNA". It matches the Rfam family "Bacterial small subunit ribosomal RNA", at positions 338 to 795 of the family's 1533-position model. The record is from RNAcentral.
CCUACGGGAGGCAGCAGUGAGGAAUAUUGGUCAAUGGACGCAAGUCUGAACCAGCCAUGCCGCGUGCAGGAAGACGGCUCUAUGAGUUGUAAACUGCUUUUGUACGAGGGUAAACGCAGAUACGCGUAUCUGUCUGCAAGUAUCGUACGAAUAAGGAUCGGCUAACUCCGUGCCAGCAGCCGCGGUAAUACGGAGGGUUCAAGCGUUAUCCGGAUUUAUUGGGUUUAAGGGUUGCGUAGGCGGUCGGAUAAGUUAGAGGUGAAAGCCCGAGGCUCAACUUCGGAAUUGCCGCUGAUACUGUUCGGCUAGAGAGUAGUAGCGGUAGGCGGAAGGUAUGGUGUAGCGGUGAAAUGCUUAGAGAUCAUACAGAACACCGAUUGCGAAGGCAGGUUACCAAGCUACUACUGACGUUGAGGCACGAAAGCGUGGGGAGCAAACAGGAUUAGAUACCCCAGUAGUC